Molecule: ribosomal RNA, 348 nt
Filed under: Sydowia polyspora
Lineage: Eukaryota; Fungi; Ascomycota; Dothideomycetes; Dothideales; Dothioraceae
Description: SSU rRNA
Rfam family: Eukaryotic small subunit ribosomal RNA
Source: RNAcentral
UGUAGUCAUAUGCUUGUCUCAAAGAUUAAGCCAUGCAUGUCUAAGUAUAAGCAACUAUACGGUGAAACUGCGAAUGGCUCAUUAAAUCAGUUAUCGUUUAUUUGAUAGUACCUUACUACUUGGAUAACCGUGGUAAUUCUAGAGCUAAUACAUGCUAAAAACCCCGACUUCGGAAGGGGUGUAUUUAUUAGAUAAAAAACCAAUGCUCUUCGGGGCUCCUUGGUGAUUCAUAAUAACUAAACGAAUCGCAUGGCCUUGCGCCGGCGAUGGUUCAUUCAAAUUUCUGCCCUAUCAACUUUCGAUGGUAGGAUAGUGGCCUACCAUGGUAUCAACGGGUAACGGGGAAUG